UACAGAGGGGGCAAGCGUUGUUCGGAAUUACUGGGCGUAAAGGGCUCGUAGGCGGCCAACUAAGUCCGACGUGAAGUCCCCAGGCUUAACCUGGGAACUGCGUCGGAUACUGGAUGGCUUGAAUCCGGGAGAGGGAUGCGGAAUUCCAGGUGUAGCGGUGAAAUGCGUAGAUAUCUGGAGGAACACCGAUGGCGAAGGCAGGUCUCUGGGCCAUUACUGACACUGAGAAGCGAAAGCAUGGGGAGCGAACAGG
RNAcentral lists this ribosomal RNA (253 nucleotides) under uncultured prokaryote. Its description in RNAcentral is "partial 16S ribosomal RNA". It matches the Rfam family "Bacterial small subunit ribosomal RNA", at positions 524 to 776 of the family's 1533-position model. The record is from RNAcentral.